AAUAUACAGAAAUGCGCGAGGCGGUGGUUGGUUUUCGUUUCUUCUUGGUGGUUGUGGGCAUGCAGUGGAAUUGUUGAGAGUGCGUGUGUGAGCUAUGGACAGUGUUGACUUCUGAGUGUGGUCUUCCAGGCGACAGGUUGUGUGUCCCAAGUGUGAUGGUGCUUGUGCUGUUCGGUGUAUAGAUUUGGAUUCUCCGAGGCCCUUCUGCGUUUUCAUCGUUGUAGAUACAAUUAUGCUCGUUUGCCUUCUCGACAUACCGCCCAGGACCACACCGCGGCCUAACUGGCCUAACUGCCGGGCUCUCGGUGAGAGACGGGGAGAGCAAAGACCCCGGUCCACAACCUGGACCUCGACUCCCACCUCUCUCUGGCCGGAGGAGUGGAGAUCCUAUUCAGAGGGGCCCGUCUCUCUAAAUAUGCCCCAGGAUGACGGAGCAGCCGCCGAGCGAGGCGGCACAC
RNAcentral lists this long non-coding RNA (458 nucleotides) under Capra hircus (goat). RNAcentral describes it as "lncRNA (ENSCHIG00010004431.1)". The record is from RNAcentral. Lineage: Eukaryota; Metazoa; Chordata; Mammalia; Artiodactyla; Bovidae.